This 65-nucleotide transfer RNA is filed under the name Chelurotropella siamensis. RNAcentral's name for it is "tRNA-Asn". The record is from RNAcentral. Lineage: Eukaryota; Metazoa; Arthropoda; Insecta; Hemiptera; Urostylididae.
UUAAUUAAAGCCAAAUUAGAGGCAUCUUAUUGUUAAUAAGAAAAUUGAUUAUUUAUCUAAUUAAA